UUGUCUUUGAAUCUUUCAUCUGGCAUUUCUGAGGGGGUCAGCGUUAUGUUGUCCCCAGGGCCAUUUGGAAAGCCUCUACCUGUACAUUACAACCUAUUUGAUGCUGCUAGAGGUUUCAGGCCUUCAUAGGAGCUCCACACCCUGCCAUUCUUCUUCCUUCUCCACACCUGUCAGAGCCCCAAUUUUUGUUUAACUGACAAGACUGAGAGUGUGCUAAACAGCAAGCGAAUGCAUGUGGAGCCAGUGACUAUGAAGUCAGUCUCAUUAAAUUUACUCAGUUUUCCUCAAGUCUUAAAGCAUGAAGCAUUACAAACCUUCAUAUGUACACUAGGGAAAGAAAGGAAGAAAAAAAAGAACUCCAGGGCAAGACCUAAGGAAAAGCCUGUGGAAAGAACACAGCAAGCCAAGGAAACCAGCUGCAGUUCCGGAGAACACAAAGAGAAGCACUCCAAAACAUGUUGCAAAAUGCCUAGUUCCUGAGCCAGAUGCAAGCAGCCUGUGCUAUAUACUAGAGCUAAAAAAAGAAGAAAGUUGAGGGAAAGGGUGACUUUGUACUUAUUUUUCUCCAGUCCCUGGGGCACAAUGAAACAGACCCUUUCAGCUCAAGACUUUUGCUGCCAGGAUUUUAGCAGUGUUUGUCAGACUGCGCUAACCAACCAUGCAUUCAUUAUUCCUCAGGAAUCCCAGUUCUGGAAGCAUUUUCCCCAACCCAUUCAGACCACCAACAUCCAAAUCUCCCUAAGGGGAUGUCAUUUUAUUUUAUUUAGUCAGAGUUGAAUGUCCUGGUUGUAACCCUACGGAUGCAUUGCUUAGAAAUUAGUCAUUCAGAGUUGUAUAAAGGGCCAAACAGUACCAUCCAAACACAUUCUAAAGCAAAAGCCACAUCUGCUGGGUCUUAACACAAAGAAUAUUCUGUCCCUUUAUGCUUAGGGUUCCCUUCUUAGCAUCCAUAUACGUGCUUUUAAAUGCUCUGUCAGACAAGCCCUGGAUGCUGCUCGUGCUCUCAUUUGUAUGAGGGAGUGGAGAGAAAAGGGUAAGGAUUUGGGCAUAAAAGAGGAGAUGUGAAAAUGAGUAGAUCAUCAUGGGCAUAGCUUGAUUGCACACCGUGACCAAAGGGAGGGUGAAUCCCGAAAUCAGAGUAAUCACAAUAAUUGCUCCUUACAUUUACUGAGCAUUUAAUAAAUGCUCUACAAGUUUUAUCUUAUAUAAGCCUCAUAACAACUCUAAGAGGUGGGAACUAUUAUUGUCCUCAUUUUAAGGGUGAGAAUCCUGCGAUUUAAGGGAUUAGGGGAUUUAUCUAAAGUCAUACAACCAGUUUAGUAGCAGCACCAGGACUGAUAUCCAGGCAAUCUGGCUUUGAGCCACACCCUCACUAUUUUUUUUUUAUUUUAUUAUGUAAUACUUGAUGCAUAAAAUGUAUAAAUAAGGCAUAUAUGUUAUAAUGUGUAAUAAUAACAUAAGCCACCAUGCCACUUUGAAGCUCCAUCACUAC
This 1492-nucleotide long non-coding RNA is filed under the name Zalophus californianus (California sea lion). RNAcentral describes it as "lncRNA (ENSZCAG00015008105.1)". Lineage: Eukaryota; Metazoa; Chordata; Mammalia; Carnivora; Otariidae. The record is from RNAcentral.